Molecule: transfer RNA, 97 nt
Filed under: Bacillota bacterium
Lineage: Bacteria; Bacillati; Bacillota
Description: tRNA-Sec
Rfam family: Selenocysteine transfer RNA
Source: RNAcentral
GGGAGUAGAUGGGUGCUGGUGUGCCCUACGGUCUUCAAAACCGGUGUGGGGGGUUAGGAGCCUCUUUGAUGAGUUCGAUUCUCAUAUACUCCCGCCA